GCAAGUCGAGGGGUAACGAUGGUGCUUGCACCAGGCGACGACCGGCGCACGGGUGAGUAACGCGUAUGCAACCUGCCCUUAACUGGGGAAUAGCCCGAAGAAAUUCGGAUUAAUGCUCCAUAAUAUAUUGGUAUUGCAUAAUAUUGAUAUUAAAGCUCCGGCGGUUAAGGAUGGGCAUGCGUGACAUUAGGUUGUUGGUGAGGUAACGGCUCACCAAGCCUACGAUGUCUAGGGGGCCUGAGAGGGUAGUC
This 251-nucleotide ribosomal RNA is filed under the name uncultured bacterium. Its description in RNAcentral is "partial 16S ribosomal RNA". It matches the Rfam family "Bacterial small subunit ribosomal RNA", at positions 57 to 305 of the family's 1533-position model. The record is from RNAcentral.